GGCCCUUCGGGGUACUCGAGCGGCGAACGGGUGAGUAACACGUGAGCAACCUGCCCCUGACUCUGGGAUAAGCCCGGGAAACUGGGUCUAAUACCGGAUACGACCGCCCCCGGCAUCGGGUGGUGGUGGAAAGUUUUUCGGUUGGGGAUGGGCUCGCGGCCUAUCAGCUUGUUGGUGGGGUAGUGGCCUACCAAGGCGACGACGGGUAGCCGGCCUGAGAGGGCGACCGGCCACACUGGGACUGAGACACGGCCCAGACUCCUACGGGAGGCAGCAGUGGGGAAUAUUGCGCAAUGGGCGGAAGCCUGACGCAGCGACGCCGCGUGGGGGAUGACGGCCUUCGGGUUGUAAACCUCUUUCAGCAGGGACGAAGUUGACGUGUACCUGCAGAAGAAGCGCCGGCUAACUACGUGCCAGCAGCCGCGGUAAUACGUAGGGCGCAAGCGUUGUCCGGAAUUAUUGGGCGUAAAGAGCUCGUAGGUGGCUGGUCGCGUCUGCCGUGAAAGCCCGCAGCUUAACUGCGGGUCUGCGGUGGAUACGGGCCGGCUAGAGGUAGGUAGGGGCAAGUGGAAUUCCUGGUGUAGCGGUGAAAUGCGCAGAUAUCAGGAGGAACACCGGUGGCGAAGGCGGCUUGCUGGGCCUUAC
Molecule: ribosomal RNA, 645 nt
Filed under: Nonomuraea maheshkhaliensis
Lineage: Bacteria; Bacillati; Actinomycetota; Actinomycetes; Streptosporangiales; Streptosporangiaceae
Description: bacterial SSU rRNA
Rfam family: Bacterial small subunit ribosomal RNA
Source: RNAcentral